AGGUGCGGGCCGCGCUCCGCGGCCGCUUCCCUCGGGGCCCGAGUGCCGAUCCGAGCGGGGCCCCGCGACCGCCGCUCUUUGUGGCGCCGGAGCGUCUUCAGAAGUGGGUGUUUUUUUUUUUGAGCCGCCAGUUUGGGAAUGGCGGGGAACGUCGCCGUGAACGGCGGGGCAAGGGGAGCGCAGGGGCUGCGGAAAGAGCGAAGCUUGUGUGACACAGGCGUUGGGUUCGGGACGCUGAGUUGUUUCCAGAUACAGGGCUCUUCGAAGACAGUGCUCGAAAACCCACCUUUUUUUGCAGCCCUUUUUGUAGUUCCGUGCAGAGAGCGGGUCAGGAGCUGUCAGAGAUCAUCAUUCAGAGCCCGAGGCGGGGGGUUGCCUACAUACGAUUUUGGGUGACAGCCUGGAUCUCCAUUCCAUAACAACAUCCACGGCAGUGAGACCAGGCCGGUGUCAUGCAGUGCUGAGCAGGUGGCAGAGGCUGGGUCCUCACAGCCGGCCAGGAGCCUCCUUCACCAAGGGAACGGGAGCCUGCUGCCUGCUAUUGAUACGUGGAGCAUUAAGCUGUGAGCAAAGCUCACUGGAGGAGACCGAGCAUGGAAUGAUUUGGGUUGGAAGAGCCCUAACUCACCUCACUCUUAGGUGAAGAUGUCUCAGCAGUACAUGAGGGAUGUGACUUCCACAUCAGUUGCUGCCAUCUCAUCUACCUGCACCUUCCCAGAGGAGUUCUUGUUUUGCUAGACAACAGAUGCAACAGUUUGACUGAGCUUCCCUGGCUGAAUGGGCAUUUUGUCAAGCACAAGUUCCCUCAGUUUCCAGAGAGGAAGUUUUCCAACUGAGCCUUGAAGGAACACUGCACUCAUCAGUGUCCCCCACUGCCUUCCUGUGUGACCCGCAGGCAGUGAGGGGGAGAGUGAUCUCUUGAGACCUCAUGUCAAUCUGAGAUGCCUCUGAAUAUCUUUGUUUUCUUUUUGACAAAAAAUAUUUGACCCACUUAAGAUGAAUCUUGUUUACUUGCAUGAAUAGAUUUACUAAUGUUAGCAGCAGUAAGAUAAGCAGACUGGCACUAUUCACAGCACCCUGCAUCUGAAAUUUUACAUGUAUUAGAAGUUAAGACAGACUUCUUCAAAAGGAUUUUUUUUCCAUAAAGAAAAGAAAACCCUUAUCUGUCAUGAAUGGCAGCAGAGACCAACGUGAAACAAUUAUUCCUAAAACACAAUGAGGAGCAUACAGAAGGACCUGCAGGAUCUGCACAUACAUUGAAAGGAGAGGAGCUGCACAGCUCCAACUUGUGCACUGAGUUGUCAGAGCACUGCUGCUGGCACUUGAGGCUUCUAAAGAUAUGGUCUGUCAACAAGAUUCUGAGUCCCUGUUUGGAUGCAAUCAAGCUAGAUUUUCAUCUUUAGCAAGCUGUGUUAAUGUACCUGAUGUUCUCUUGACGCUUGUCCUGAUCUCUAAGUUUUCUAGCUUGUAAUUUCUGUUUCUAGGCUCAUCCUUUCUGUGGUCCUCAAAAUCAGGGAAGGAAAUCCCUUUUUAAUGUUGUUGCCAUUAAAGUCCCCUGAGCCAAUUGAUCUUAUUCAGGACUUCAGCCAAAUUUUGCCCAAGAAUGUGAGGAAACUUCCUGGGUCAGAUGUGAGAUGGAAAUACAAGUGAAAUCUGGGUAUCUUUUGUUUGGUGUCUGAUGCUCUUUUUCAUACCCAGCAGUCAGGAUGUGUGGCCCAGUGAGCACACUGAAACCAGAAGAUGCGUUGCCAAGCCAGGAGUUCUCACUUGUUUCUAACAACUCCUAAACCCCAAGGUUUACAUUCGGGAGCCAAAGGAAUGCUUACCCUUUUCUGUAAGAGAAGCAGCGUUCAGAAGAUUGAUUAUAAUAAUAAACUAGGGAUUGUGUUUCUGAGAUUUUACAUGUAAACACAAUCUUAAGUGUAAUUGGUUUCAAUGACUUCCAUUUAAUUCUUGAACAAAGUUUCCUUUUAAAUUCCACACCAGAUUGGACAUGGCCAAAGAUAAAUUGAAUGCAAUCAGAUCUACAAUUUGCUUUGAUGAUAUGCUACAUUAUUUCUUACAACAAACUGUUUAUUAUACAAAGCUAAUGGUGUUACUCAUGCAUUUAACAAAUCUAAUAUAUUUGAAACUAUGACAAAAUGAUAAGUUCCAAAUUUAAGUCUGGAAAAACAAAACAAAAAAAAAAAAAAACAUGUUUUAUUAAAGAGUUUCAUCUAUAGUUACAUCCUUGUCAAUGCCCAAGUCAUCACUUUCACAAAGAAUUCUUAAACUAAGAAUUUAAUGUGCAUUUCUCAUCAUUAUACAAAUCAGAAAUCUUAAUUACACUGCCUCUUCACGAUAACUUUAAUUUACAUUCGCUUAAUGAAUGUAUAUUCUUAAGAAGCAUGUCUGAAUUUAAAUGUUUUUAUGGUGUUGUUAACAUAAUACUCCUUAAAACUGUUAAUAAGACCUCUAAAAAGACUUGCUCUCAUCUACGCUGAGCCAGCUGUUGCACUGGGCUGCCAUGGAAUUAUUUGAAUACUCAUGAAAUUUACUGAAAAUUAGCGUUGUCUUCAUCAUCAUCCUUUCCAACAACAGCAACCACAAAAUGAUGUAACAAUGACAAAAAAAAAAAUCUGUAAAACUAGACCCUCGUGGCUGUGACAAGAAUUCUUCAGUGCAUUUUCUGGAAAUUUGUAAAAUCAAGAUGAUCUUCUAAUAUUUAACCCAAACAAUUCUUACUUACCCCCCCACUCCUCUUGCUGAUAUUUAUCAUGAUUUCAUCAUGGCAACUACAAAUUAAUGAAGAGAGAAUAUAGUCCCUGAAAAUACAAAUAUUUGAUUGCAGGAAUUGUUAGCCCUUGAAAUGCAGUGCUGCUUACCACUGAGCUAAUCCAACUACUCUGUGUUCUGAAUUACCACUUCAACCCUUGCCUUGUCUUGUUCAUGCAGCUGAGGAACGCAAAUGCCAUGCCUUACAAAUAAAAACCAAAAACAGCAGCAGAACAGCUGCCAUCAUCCAUUGGCCUAAAACAUAAGGGCCUAGACUUUAGGAAAAAUGGCUUGCCCAAAUUAUACCACUUCUGCAAUAUAUUAGGGAUAAUUGAUGAAUGCCAGACUUUGCUAUUUGGAUGUCUGUUGAAAUUCCAUGGUGGCAAAAGCAGGACACACACAACAUUUCCAACAUGGUGGGAAGUCUUCUGUUACAGCUAACAAUGGAAAGCCUACUGAGAUUUCUAAUUUGCCACCUGCAGUGACAUGCCAGGCGCUGUGCUCCUGCCUGGCCCACCCCCAAGCUCUUUGCUCUCACAGCUCUUCCCAGCUCCAGCUGCGCCUGGCUGCAGUCCCCAGGCUGGUCUCACUCUCUGCUGCAAUGCCUUAACGUUUCUUCUUCCUUCCAUUUACCCAAUUCCUCAGGGACUUUUUGCUUGUCGCAGUAUCCCUACUACUCCCACUGUCUCUUUUUCUGAACUCAAUGUUUUUGUUUCCUAUUUUGUAGGGGAUUUUUCUUCUUGGUGGUUCAGUUUCAUUGAAGAUGAUAGGAAGAGGUGAUCCCUACAGAUAGUUUAGAAAAUCUACCGAUGAUUCAAAAUAAGCACUUAAAAAACACUCCAAAUGCCAUAUUCUCACUGUGAAAUCUUAAAAACAUGGAUUGUCCCUUCUGCCAAGCGCUAAGUAGAAAUGGGCUUGUAAGGGCACCUUGCCAUUUUUCUUUGAAAAGAAUUAAUGGAAUAGACAUCCAAAUCAGCCUUCUUACUCUGCCGCACAUAUCAUGUGUUCAUAAAUCUGUUCACCUUGAAUAAAAACAGCAAACACACAGAAGAUUUGGCGCACGUGAUCCUUCUUGCAGCACCACAGCUAAGACAUUGUUGUGUUUGGGGCCCUUUAUUCCAAAGCACUGUCUCGUUAUUGUCUUUUUAAGCUGUCUGGUUUCUAAGUUCUCAGAAUUUAGAAGAUCAGAAGAAUGUUUCCAUUGUCCAGAUACCAGCCUGCUUCGUGUCAGCCUGUUGGCCUGACCGGCAUUUCCUUGAGGUCCAUGAUCUGCAGAAAAGGGACCUAGCAGGUUGAGUAUGACUGGGCCAGAAGGCCUGGGGCAGCAGGCUGCACUGCGCAGCCACAUACCUCAGCAUGUGUUCAUCACCCCACGUGUCAGAAAGUUACAGAAUAUCCCGAGUUGGAAGGGUCCCUCAAGACUCAUUGAGUCCAGCUCCCAGCUGGACCACAAAGGACCACUCAAAAUUCAAACCCUAUGUAGCCCCAUGUAUUGCGCACAGCGACAUCUCCUUCAUCUUUUUUCCCACGUGGAAGGAUCUAGCAAACAGAGUCUUCUUCCUUCAGUGGAAGAGGACUGGAUACAACUUAUGCUCUGCUCUUCCUGAAUACCUCCUGCAGCAGGGAGGCUGCUUGGUGCCCACACUAGUAAAUGUGUCAGCGGAGGCCAUGGUCACUUCUGGGGCCUGCUGGCUCUUGUACAUGUCUGACAAAAACAUGUAACUAAUGAUGGUGACUAUUUUGAAAAAGUAAUAUUUUGUAGCGGAGAAUUUGCU
Phasianus colchicus (ring-necked pheasant) is the source of this 4529-nucleotide long non-coding RNA. RefSeq lists it as uncharacterized. The record is from RefSeq and is a predicted model, not a curated record. Lineage: Eukaryota; Metazoa; Chordata; Aves; Galliformes; Phasianidae.